Molecule: non-coding RNA, 197 nt
Organism: Triticum aestivum (bread wheat)
Lineage: Eukaryota; Viridiplantae; Streptophyta; Magnoliopsida; Poales; Poaceae
Source: Rfam
AUACCUUUCUCGGCCUUUUGGCUAAGAUCAAGUGUAGUAUCUGUUCUUAUCAGUUUAAUAUCUGAUAUGUGGACCAAGUGUCCACAAUGAUAUUAAAUUUAUUUUUUAUGGGGGAGAGUCCACCAUGGUAGCUUGCUGCCGGGCCUCUCAUGUGUCGCCCAGGUGUUGCACUAUUGCCUGGGCCUGGCGCACCCCAA